UGACGCUAUAAUAUCUAUUCAAUGAAGAUAGAUUUUUAAAUUUUUUUUUUGAUGUUUACAUUUUCUUAACCAUCUGGUUUGAAUUCUACAUUGUCUACAAAAGCUUUUUGAACGGCAUCGGCUUCAUUUCCCUUGCGUAUCUUUUUAAGUGCUAUAACUAAAUUAAAAACCAAGGUUUCAUUAGGCCUAGGAGGUCUCCAUAUUUCGAACAUCGCGGUUUUAAAUUCCAAUGUUGACUCUAUGCUCGAUAGUUUCUCAUCGGAGAUAUUCAAUUUUACUCCAAGUUUGUAGCAUUCAUCUUCACUUAAUUGUUGUCCGAGUCUAAAUAAUGAUGAUUUUCGAAGAACAGGAAUCUUACCUUAAAGAUUAAAAAUAUGAAAAUGUCAACCUGGUAAAGUUAUUAUAAAUAUUGCAGUUU
RNAcentral lists this long non-coding RNA (418 nucleotides) under Mytilus galloprovincialis (Mediterranean mussel). The record is from RNAcentral. Lineage: Eukaryota; Metazoa; Mollusca; Bivalvia; Mytilida; Mytilidae.